Molecule: ribosomal RNA, 483 nt
Filed under: Bithynia funiculata
Lineage: Eukaryota; Metazoa; Mollusca; Gastropoda; Littorinimorpha; Bithyniidae
Description: partial large subunit ribosomal RNA
Rfam family: Bacterial large subunit ribosomal RNA
Source: RNAcentral
GGGCCUGCCCAGUGAUAUUUCAACGGCCGCGGUACUCUGACCGUGCAAAGGUAGCAUAAUCAUUUGCCCUAUAAUUAAGGGCUAGUAUGAACGGUCUAACAAGAAUGGAACUGUCUCUUUUAAAAUCUUUAGAAUUUGGUUUUUAGGUGAAGAAACCUAAAUUAUAUUGAUAGACAAGAAGACCCUAUCGAGCUUUAAAACAAUUAGCUAAACAAAUAAACAAUACUAACUUUAGCUAAAAAUUUUGGUUGGGGCGACUAAGGAACAAAUAAAGCUUCCUUAAUAAAUUCAACACUAAUUAGUAAUGAUCCAAAAUAUUUGAUUAAUAAAAUUAGUUACCGUAGGGAUAACAGCAUAAUCUUCUUUAAGAGUUCUUAUCGAAAAGAAUGUUUGUGACCUCGAUGUUGGACUAGGAUAUCCAAAAGAUGCAGAAGUCUCUAAAGGUUGGUCUGUUCGACCAAUAAAAUCCUACGUGAUCUAUCU